Molecule: ribosomal RNA, 407 nt
Filed under: uncultured bacterium
Lineage: Bacteria
Description: partial 16S ribosomal RNA
Rfam family: Bacterial small subunit ribosomal RNA
Source: RNAcentral
GACGAACGCUGGCGGCGUGCCUAAUACAUGCAAGUCGAACGCAGUUGCGAACGUGUGAGUAACGCGUAGGUAACUGCCUGGUAGCGGGGGAUAACUAUUGUAAACGAUAGCUAAUACCGCAUACUACCAGAUGGACCUGCGUUGUAUUAGCUAGUUGGUGGGGUAACGGGUCACCAAGGCAACGUUACAUAGCCGAGCCGGGGAGGUGAUCGGCCAAACUGGGAAUGGGACACGGGCCAGACUCCUUCGGGAAGGAGCAGUAGGGAAUCUUCGGCAAUGGGGGGAAACCUGACCGAGCAAAGCCGGGUGGGUGGAGAAGGUUUUCGGGUCGUAAAGCUAUGUUGUUCAGGAAGCGGUACUUAACCAGAAAGGGACGGCUAACUACGUGCCAGCAGCCGCGGUAAUAC